CGUGGACCAUGUUGGCCAGGCUGGUCUCGAACUCCUGACCUCAAGUGAUCCGCCCACCUUGGCCUUCCAAAGUGCUAGGAUUACAGGCAUGAGCCACCACCUGGCCACCCUGUGUAUCUGGAGACAGCUGCCAAGUCUAAAUUUGCAGAGGUAAGGGAAGGAGAAGCCUUGACCCAGUGGCCCCCGCUCGCCCUGCCUGCUGGGGAGAUGGGGAGCUCCUAGGACAGGGGCUGGGUCCUCAAGACGUGGCACGAGGAAGGGGGUCGCAUUAAGCCCCCAGCGGCUCCCGCACUGCGCACCCCUGGGGCGUCCCUCUGCCAGCCUCAACCCAGCCCCCUCCUAGCCGACGGGCGGUGGCAGUCUCCGUGAUAUCUUUCCGUCCCGCCGGCAGGCGGCGCCCUCCGGCCCUUGUUUCGUCGGGCCCGGACGGGGCGUGCGCGCUCAAAGGUUGCCCGGCUCUGUCGCCCGCAUUUCCUGGCCUGAAGCCCGCUGAGCCACAGCGGGGUCGCCGCGGGGUCCCGGGGCCGUGCUCCCCCGCCCCUCCCAGGAGCGCGCGGGGUGGGGCGGAACCAGGCCGGCACGCUGGGCCCUCGCCCUUCCCUCGGGCAGUCACCUGGGCACGGGCGCCGCAGGUGCCGGGCCCUCAACCUUGCGGAGCCGACAGCCGUCGAUCCUCGGGUGGCCUCGAGGUGGUGGCAGGGCCGCCCCCUGCAGUCCGGAGGCGAACGCACUUACCCGACCUCCGGAGGCAGGUUCGCCUGGGAGGAACCGCUCCGGCUUCGUCCUACACUUGCGCAAAUGUCUCCGGUAAGGGAAAGUGUUGCUUAAAUCCCAGAGAUAACCCCCGUCGAGAAGCAUCACAAGACAUAUGAACGAGUGUUUAGCUCUCAGUAUUGUUAUUGCUUCGAGUGAAAUGGUUUCGUGUGUACUUUGUGCAUUUGUAUAUAAAUAUAAACAUAUGUAUACAUUUGACAAACUCUAAGACCGGCACUUACUUGUGAUAUCUCCAGAACAGAGUUACUAUAGUUAUUUGGAAAUUGUCAGUGGGAAUCAGCCUGGCUGGUAUGAGAAUUACAGGGAGGAGGACCUGUGUGCAAUUUCAAAACGAUUUGAGAUGUUCAGUGGCAAUACAAGGUGUGGACGUUGGUUAGAUCCUGAUUUGAUGAAUGUUUUUUAAAAUGGAGAUGAUGGCCGAGUGCGGUGGCUCACACCUGUAAUCCCAGCACUUUGGGAGGCGAGGUGGGUGGAUCAUCUGAGGGCAGGAGUUCGAGACCAGCCUGGCCAACAUGGUGAACCCCUUCUCUACUAAAAAUACAAAAAUUAGCAGGGUGUGGUGGCACGCGCCUGUAAUCCCAGCUACUCGGGAAGGCUGAGGUAGGAGAAUCGCUUCAACGCCGAAGGCAGAGAUUGCAGUAAGCCGAGAUCAUGCCACUGCAUUCCAGCGUGGGAGGCAGAGCGAGACUCCGUCUCAAAAUAAAUAAAUAAAUAAAUAAAUAAAUAAAUAAAUA
RNAcentral lists this long non-coding RNA (1508 nucleotides) under Piliocolobus tephrosceles (Ugandan red Colobus). RNAcentral describes it as "lncRNA (ENSPTEG00000033081.1)". Lineage: Eukaryota; Metazoa; Chordata; Mammalia; Primates; Cercopithecidae. The record is from RNAcentral.